RNAcentral lists this ribosomal RNA (496 nucleotides) under uncultured bacterium. Its description in RNAcentral is "partial 16S ribosomal RNA". It matches the Rfam family "Bacterial small subunit ribosomal RNA", at positions 28 to 507 of the family's 1533-position model. The record is from RNAcentral.
GAUGAACGCUGGCGGCGUGCCUAAUACAUGCAAGUCGAGCGAACAGACGAGGAGCUUGCUCCUCUGACGUUAGCGGCGGACGGGUGAGUAACACGUGGAUAACCUACCUAUAAGACUGGGAUAACUUCGGGAAACCGGAGCUAAUACCGGAUAAUAUAUUGAACCGCAUGGUUCAAUAGUGAAAGACGGUUUUGCUGUCACUUAUAGAUGGAUCCGCGCCGCAUUAGCUAGUUGGUAAGGUAACGGCUUACCAAGGCAACGAUGCGUAGCCGACCUGAGAGGUGAUCGGCCACACUGGAACUGAGACACGGUCCAGACUCCUACGGGAGGCAGCAGCAGGGAAUCUUCCGCAAUGGGCGAAAGCCUGACGGAGCAACGCCGCGUGAGUGAUGAAGGUCUUCGGAUCGUAAAACUCUGUUAUUAGGGAAGAACAAAUGUGUAAGUAACUAUGCACGUCUUGACGGUACCUAAUCAGAAAGCCACGGCUAACUACGUG